Molecule: ribosomal RNA, 592 nt
Filed under: Epicoccum nigrum
Lineage: Eukaryota; Fungi; Ascomycota; Dothideomycetes; Pleosporales; Didymellaceae
Description: eukaryotic LSU rRNA
Rfam family: Eukaryotic large subunit ribosomal RNA
Source: RNAcentral
UUGACCUCGGAUCAGGUAGGGAUACCCGCUGAACUUAAGCAUAUCAAUAAGCGGAGGAAAAGAAACCAACAGGGAUUGCCCUAGUAACGGCGAGUGAAGCGGCAACAGCUCAAAUUUGAAAUCUGGCGUCUUUGGCGUCCGAGUUGUAAUUUGCAGAGGGCGCUUUGGCAUUGGCAGCGGUCCAAGUUCCUUGGAACAGGACGUCACAGAGGGUGAGAAUCCCGUACGUGGUCGCUAGCCUUUACCGUGUAAAGCCCCUUCGACGAGUCGAGUUGUUUGGGAAUGCAGCUCUAAAUGGGAGGUAAAUUUCUUCUAAAGCUAAAUACUGGCCAGAGACCGAUAGCGCACAAGUAGAGUGAUCGAAAGAUGAAAAGCACUUUGGAAAGAGAGUUAAAAAGCACGUGAAAUUGUUGAAAGGGAAGCGCUUGCAGCCAGACUUGCCUGUAGUUGCUCAUCCGGGUUUUUACCCGGUGCACUCUUCUACGGGCAGGCCAGCAUCAGUUUGGGCGGUUGGAUAAAGGUCUCUGUCACGUACCUCCUCUCGGGGAGAUCUUAUAGGGGAGACGACAUGCAACCAGCCUGGACUGAGGUC